UUGCCCUAGUAACGGCGAGUGAAGCGGCAACAGCUCAAAUUUGAAAUCUGGCUCCUUUGGGGUCCGAGUUGUAAUUUGUAGAGGGUGCUUUGGCGUUGGUUGUGGUCUAAGUUCCUUGGAACAGGACGUCACAGAGGGUGAGAAUCCCGUACGUGGCCGCCAGCCUCCGCCGUGUAAAGCCCCUUCGAUGAGUCGAGUUGUUUGGGAAUGCAGCUCUAAAUGGGAGGUAAAUUUCUUCUAAAGCUAAAUAUUUGCCAGAGACCGAUAGCGCACAAGUAGAGUGAUCGAAAGAUGAAAAGCACUUUGGAAAGAGAGUCAAAAAGCACGUGAAAUUGUUGAAAGGGAAGCGCUUGCAGCUAGACGUGCCUUGGGUUGAUCAGCCGGACUUUUGCCCGGUGCACUCUUCCUUUGGCAGGCCAGCAUCAGUUUGGGCGGCUGGAUAAAGGUCUGUUAAACGUGACUUCCUUCGGGGAGAGCUUAUAGGGCAGACGACAUGCAGCCAGCCUGAACUGAGGUCCGCGCAUCUGCUAGGAUGCUGGCGUAAUAGCUGUAAGCGGCCCGUCUUGAAACACGGACCAAGGAGUCUAACAUCUAUGCGAGUGUUUGGGUGUCAAGCCCGAGCGCGUAAUGAAAGUAAACGGAGGUGGGAACCUUUUAGGUGCACCAUCGACCGAUCCUGAUGUCUUCGGAUGGAUUUGAGUAAGAGCAUAGCUGUUGGGACCCGAAAGAUGGUGAACUAUGCCUGAAUAGGGUGAAGCCAGAGGAAACUCUGGUGGAGGCUCGCAGCGGUUCUGACGUGCAAAUCGAUCGUCAAAUUUGGGCAUAGGGGCGAAAGACUAAUCGAACUAUCUAGUAGCU
This 858-nucleotide ribosomal RNA is filed under the name Lophiostoma compressum. RNAcentral describes it as "eukaryotic LSU rRNA". It matches the Rfam family "Eukaryotic large subunit ribosomal RNA", at positions 75 to 952 of the family's 3401-position model. Lineage: Eukaryota; Fungi; Ascomycota; Dothideomycetes; Pleosporales; Lophiostomataceae. The record is from RNAcentral.